RNA transcript from Mus caroli (Ryukyu mouse), 2553 nucleotides. It is a transcript of the gene named solute carrier family 4 member 1 adaptor protein, with no coding region annotated. Lineage: Eukaryota; Metazoa; Chordata; Mammalia; Rodentia; Muridae. The record is from RefSeq and is a predicted model, not a curated record.
CCGAGGGACACAUUUUGAGAUUGCACCCGGCUAAGGAUGGCUGAUCCUACCUCUCAGCUAGACACGCCAGCUCCCCAGGAUGUCAGUAACGAGUUUAAGAAGCCGGUUUUACCAUUGCCUUCCGCAGUGCGGGGUAAGGCUUCGGUCUCCAGUCCCUCCGUUCCUGAAGAUGUGAAGAAGGAAUGUCUCGCGGCUCAGCUGGACUCUGGAUGUGAGGAGCCCGAGGUCCCGCCACCGCAGCCGGACAGCGAGGAGACCGGGGGUCCACCGGUGGAGCAGCUCCGCUCCCCGCGGGUAGCUCCUGCUUCUGGCGGUCCGACCCGGGCUCCGCCGUACCGAGAGCCAUCGUGGGGCAGCCCAGCCACGGCCCCCUACAGUCUCGAAACCCUGAAGGGUGGCACCAUCCUUGGCACCCGCACCUUGAAAGACACGAGCUGCUGCUUUUUCGGGAGACUUGCUAGCUGUGACAUAUGUCUGGAGCAUCCUUCCGUGUCUCGGUACCAUGCUGUACUACAACACCGGGGGGCGGAUCCCAGCGGAGACUCUGACAGUCAUGAGCAGGGCUUUUAUCUCUACGAUCUGGGAAGUACCCACGGCACGUUCCUCAACAAAACUCGCAUCCCACUCCGCACUUACUGUAGAGUCCACGUCGGGCACGUUAUGCGCUUUGGAGGCAGCACUCGGCUCUUUAUCCUUCAGGGACCAGAGGAAGACCGAGAGGCAGAAUCUGAAUUAACAGUAACACAGUUGAAGGAAUUGCGUAAACAGCAGCAGAUGUUAUUGGAGAAGAAGAUGUUAGGUGAAGACUCAGAUGAAGAAGAAGAAGAAGCAAAUACCACUGAAGGGAAGAGCAGUAGAAGUGGUCAAGAUGAUGAGAUGGGCUGCACGUGGGGAAUGGGAGAAGAUGCUGUGGAGGAUGAAGCUGAAGAGAACCCCAUUGCCUUAGAGUUUCAGCAGGACCGGGAAGCGUUUUAUAUAAAGGAUCCAAAGAAGGCUCUUCAAGGCUUCUUUGACCGAGAAGGAGAAGAGUUAGAAUAUGAAUUUGAUGAGCAAGGACACAGCACUUGGCUCUGCAGGGUGAGGUUACCUGUAGAUGAUUCAACUGGGAAACAGCUGGUGGCUGAGGCCAUUCACUCAGGAAAGAAAAAGGAAGCAAUGAUUCAGUGCUCGCUGGAAGCCUGCCGGGUCCUCGACACACUGGGCUUGCUGCGGCAGGAAGCAGUAUCUCGGAAAAGGAAAGCCAAGAACUGGGAAGAUGAGGAUUUUUAUGACAGUGACGAUGAUACAUUCCUCGAUCGGACUGGCCUGGUAGAGAAGAAGCGCUUGAGCCGCAUGAAGAAGGCUGGGAAGCUUGAUGAGAAGCCAGAAACUUUUGAGUCACUGGUUGCAAAGUUAAAUGAUGCAGAAAGGGAACUCGCCGAAAUUUCUGAAAGGCUCAAGGCUUCAAGCAAAGUUCUAUCAGAGUCAUCAUCUCAGGACUCUUUAGAUGCAUUCAUGUCCGAAAUGAAAUCAGGCAGCACAUUAGAUGGGGUAUCCCGGAAGAAACUUCACCUGAGGACUUUUGAACUAAGAAAAGAACAACAGAGACUUAAAGGGUUAAUAAAACUUGUAAAGCCAGCAGAGAUCCCAGAACUAAAAAAGACUGAACUUCAGACUACAAAUGCAGAAAACAAAACUAAGAAACUUGCAUUGCCUCUCUUUGGUGCCAUGAAAGGAGGAAGCAAAUUCAAAUUAAAAACCGGAACAGUAGGGAAGUUGCCACCCAAGCGUCCAGAACUCCCUCCAGCUUUAAUGCAAAUGAAGGAUGAACCUGAAGUAGAGGAGGAGGAGGAAGAGGAAGAAGAGGAGGAGAAAGUGAAGGAGGAGCAUGAAGAACGAGUGGAGGAUGGAGGUGUCAGGCUUCUUCAGGAGCCUGAGCUGGAGCUGGAAGCAGCAGUGGAGCACCCGAGUGCUCCUUCAGAGCCCUCGUGCUCCAAGGAGACAAAAAGCCAUGAAAGUAUAUCUCAACUCAGCCAAGUGGAACAGCGUAAAGAUUAUCAAGAGAUGGGCAAAAUAGUAGCAUCAUGUGAGGACCCUUCAGCUGUGUAUACUUUACCACCCUUAAAGCAGCACCAGAGAAUGAAUAUAAAAAAGACAGAGAUGAGCUGAAGAAAAAGAAAUCUCCUGGGCCUGGCAAAUUUCCACCCAUCCUUUCUUCCAAAUAUCCUGAGGAUGACCCAGACUACUGUAUAUGGGUCCCACCUGAAGGUCAAAGUGGAGAUGGCAGAACCCAUCUUAAUGACAAGUAUGGCUACUGAUUGGUUCAGAGUCCCAGAGGAAGACCUUGUGGACCACAGGAUGUUUGGGAGGAAACAUCAAGUCAUGGCCAGGAAUCAGAUGACCAUUUGUAAAAUCUGGUGACUGGCUUUUUCUUCUGUAUCCCUGGUUUCCUAUAACUCCCUGCCCAUUGGAUUCUCCUCAGUUUUGGUGUUUAUAUUUAAGUGUUUGUGUGUAUAUAUGUAAAAAAAGAGCCAUGUACACUAGAAUCAGUAAAGUAAGAGGCAUGACCCAUUA